RNAcentral lists this long non-coding RNA (284 nucleotides) under Capsella rubella. RNAcentral describes it as "long non-coding RNA (CRUB_LNC001576)". The record is from RNAcentral. Lineage: Eukaryota; Viridiplantae; Streptophyta; Magnoliopsida; Brassicales; Brassicaceae.
UUUUUUUUGUGCACCAAAUUUUUUUCAUUUAAAUUAGAAAGAUACAAGAGGAUAGAGCAUAUUCAGACACCUUUGAAUAGCAAGGUUGGAAAUUAAAGCACAUAAGCCAACAAAAACCAAACAUAGAGACACAAGCUUAAUAAAGCUUGAUAGAGAACCAGGAUAAAUGUUGAAGCAAACUAACACGAGGAAACCCAUGAGAGAAAACGCAUUCCACAAAUAAACAUCAACUGGUAAAGAGAUAGUCACCAUACAAUGUGACGUUAGGACGAACUUCGAGCCAU